RNAcentral lists this ribosomal RNA (484 nucleotides) under uncultured bacterium. RNAcentral's name for it is "partial 16S ribosomal RNA". It matches the Rfam family "Bacterial small subunit ribosomal RNA", at positions 30 to 507 of the family's 1533-position model. The record is from RNAcentral.
AUUGAACGCUGGCGGCAGGCCUAACACAUGCAAGUCGAGCGGAUGAAGGGAGCUUGCUCCUGGAUUCAGCGGCGGACGGGUGAGUAAUGCCUAGGAAUCUGCCUGGUAGUGGGGGAUAACAUCCGGAAACGGGCGCUAAUACCGCAUACGUCCUGAGGGAGAAAGUGGGGGAUCUUCGGACCUCACGCUAUCAGAUGAGCCUAGGUCGGAUUAGCUAGUUGGUGGGGUAAAGGCCUACCAAGGCGACGAUCCGUAACUGGUCUGAGAGGAUGAUCAGUCACACUGGAACUGAGACACGGUCCAGACUCCUACGGGAGGCAGCAAUGGGGAAUAUUGGACAAUGGGCGAAAGCCUGAUCCAGCCAUGCCGCGUGUGUGAAGAAGGUCUUCGGAUUGUAAAGCACUUUAAGUUGGGAGGAAGGGCAGUAAGUUAAUACCUUGCUGUUUUGACGUUACCAACAGAAUAAGCACCGGCUAACUUCGUG